GAUGAACGCUGGCGGCGUGCCUAAUACAUGCAAGUCGAGCGAACAGAUGAGGAGCUUGCUCCUCUGACGUUAGCGGCGGACGGGUGAGUAACACGUGGAUAACCUACCUAUAAGACUGGGAUAACUUCGGGAAACCGGAGCUAAUACCGGAUAAUAUAUUGAACCGCAUGGUUCAAUAGUGAAAGACGGUUUUGCUGUCACUUCUAGAUGGAUCCGCGCCGCAUUAGCUAGUUGGUAAGGUAACGGCUUACCAAGGCAACGAUGCGUAGCCGACCUGAGAGGGUGAUCGGCCACACUGGAACUGAGACACGGUCCAGACUCCUACGGGAGGCAGCAGUAGGGAAUCUUCCGCAAUGGGCGAAAGCCUGACGGAGCAACGCCGCGUGAGUGAUGAAGGUCUUCGGAUCGUAAAACUCGGUUAUUAGGGAAGAACAAAUGUGUAAGUAACUAUGCACGUCUUGACGGUACCUAAUCAGAAAGCCACGGCUAACUACGUG
RNAcentral lists this ribosomal RNA (497 nucleotides) under uncultured bacterium. RNAcentral describes it as "partial 16S ribosomal RNA". It matches the Rfam family "Bacterial small subunit ribosomal RNA", at positions 28 to 507 of the family's 1533-position model. The record is from RNAcentral.